GACGAACCGUGCGAACGUUGUUCGGAAUCACUGGGCUUAAAGGGCGCGUAGGCGGCUUGCCAAGUCAGGGGUGAAAUCCUGCAGCUUAACUGUAGAAGGGCCUUUGAUACUGGCGAGCUCGAGGGAGGCAGGGGUGCGUGGAACUUCUGGUGGAGCGGUGAAAUGCGUUGAUAUCAGAAGGAACGCCGGUGGCGAAAGCGACGCACUGGACCUUUUCUGACGCUGAGGCGCGAAAGCUAGGGGAGCAAACGGG
RNAcentral lists this ribosomal RNA (253 nucleotides) under uncultured bacterium. Its description in RNAcentral is "partial 16S ribosomal RNA". It matches the Rfam family "Bacterial small subunit ribosomal RNA", at positions 524 to 776 of the family's 1533-position model. The record is from RNAcentral.